Molecule: ribosomal RNA, 253 nt
Filed under: uncultured bacterium
Lineage: Bacteria
Description: partial 16S ribosomal RNA
Rfam family: Bacterial small subunit ribosomal RNA
Source: RNAcentral
UACGGAGGGGGCGAGCGUUGUCCGAAGUUACUGGGCGUAAAGCGCGCGUAGGCGGGUUGCCAAGUCCGCUGUGAAAGCCCGAGGCUCAACCUCGGAGGGUCGGUGGAUACUGGCAGUCUUGAAGGUGCUAGGGGGAGAUGGAAUUACCGGUGUAGCGGUGAAAUGCGUAGAGAUCGGUAGGAACACCAGUGGCGAAGGCGGCUUUCUGGGCCUUACCUGACGCUGAGACGCGAAAGCGUGGGGAGCGAACCGG